Long non-coding RNA from Lotus japonicus, 917 nucleotides. RefSeq lists it as uncharacterized. The transcript has 3 exons. Lineage: Eukaryota; Viridiplantae; Streptophyta; Magnoliopsida; Fabales; Fabaceae. The record is from RefSeq and is a predicted model, not a curated record.
CAAAAUUGGGUUAUGUGGGAUAUUAAUGAGUGGUUGGGACGUUAUGUCAUGAAGUUUAAAUGUUUUUUCCACCAUUUAAUUGAUUACUGGAAGACUGAAGACUGAAGACCGUGGUCAGUUUCAAAAGCCACAACCAAAACACCUCACCACAUUCAUGGCCAUGCAAUAAAGAUUACUAGGACCAGUAUUUUUAUAACAUAUUUUGUGCGGACAAAACGAUGCUCUCCUCCCUUACCAUUCACCCCGCUAUAUAACAGGCCAAACAUCGGGGCUAAAGCUACUGUGUUUCCAACGUCCCUUUCACGACUCAAGCCAUAGUAAACUACUGCUGAAGCUUCAAACAGGAUGGCCAUGGAGGGAGGGGAAAACCUCCUUAUUGAAAUCUCGAGUGACUCAUCUGAUGAUGAAGAUGCAAUCUUCAUUGACUGGGAAGUCACCCUUACUAGGCAUAAGGCAUCCGGGUCGCAAUGUUUGGGAAUUCCAGCACGGGUGGUGAGGGCCUGUCUUAUGCACAAACCACUGACUUUAGAAAUUGAGAUAGAUUGUGAUUACCAACGUUUGGAAGACUGGGAAUUGAAAUGGACUCAUGACAUGCCAACACAAUGCAUGUUUGGCCAUGGAUGGUACGAGUUUGCAAAGGAGAAGAAUCUCCGUGAGGGAGAUAUUGUCAGCUUUCUGAAACAUCCAAACAUGCUCUGUUUUCUUCUGCUCAUUACCAGGGUAGAGGAACAAUGAAUGUAGCCUGUAUUUGCCAAUAUCCAUCCAUGCAUGUGUCAUUUAAGCUGGUCGUCUAAUUCCUCCUUUUUUCCAUGUGUUUUAUUUGUGCAACCACGUUAGAUCAUGGAGUGUUGUGUUUCAUCACCUCGGAAAUAUAUUAUCCCUUGAAGUGUGACAUAACGUGCAGACUUAACUAUUUC